RNAcentral lists this small RNA (44 nucleotides) under Arabidopsis thaliana (thale cress). RNAcentral describes it as "ATSL233900". Lineage: Eukaryota; Viridiplantae; Streptophyta; Magnoliopsida; Brassicales; Brassicaceae. The record is from RNAcentral.
AAAGCAAGUCUUGAGUGUUUAGGGUCAAUUUAGUUAUCUGUUUA